AGCAGCCGCGGUAAUUCCAGCUCCAAUAGCGUAUAUUAAAGUUGUUGCAGUUAAAAAGCUCGUAGUUGAAUUUCGGGGUUAGUAGGUUGGUCAUGCCUCUGGUAUGUACUGGUCUCACUGAUUCCUCCUUCCUGAUGAGCCGUAAUGCCAUUAAUUUGGUGUUGCGAGGAAUUUGGACUGUUACUUUGAAAAAAUUUAGAGUGUUUAAAGCAAGCUAACGCUUGAAUACAUUAGCAUGGAAUAAUGAAAUAGGACGUUCGAUCCUAUUUUGUUGGUUUCUAGGAUUGACGUAAUGAUUAAUAGGGAUAGUUGGGGGCAUUAGUAUUCAAUUGUCAGAGGUGAAAUUCUUGGAUUUAUUGAAGACUAACUACUGCGAAAGCAUUUGCCAAGGAUGUUUUCAUUAAUCAAGAACGAAAGUUAGGGGAUCGAAGACGAUCAGAUACCGUCGUAGUCUUAACCAUAAACUAUGCCGACUAGGGAUCGGAUGAUGUUAAUUUUUUUAAUGACUCAUUCGGCGCCU
Molecule: unclassified non-coding RNA, 520 nt
Filed under: uncultured Glomus
Lineage: Eukaryota; Fungi; Glomeromycota; Glomeromycetes; Glomerales; Glomeraceae
Description: SSU rRNA
Rfam family: Eukaryotic small subunit ribosomal RNA
Source: RNAcentral